Solea solea (common sole) is the source of this 2706-nucleotide long non-coding RNA. RefSeq lists it as uncharacterized. Lineage: Eukaryota; Metazoa; Chordata; Actinopteri; Pleuronectiformes; Soleidae. The record is from RefSeq and is a predicted model, not a curated record. The transcript has 2 exons.
UCAUGAUUAUUCCGUCAACUGUAAAUGUUUUUCUUUGGGUUGCAUUAGUACAGAUAUAUCACAUAAUGAUAUUUUCUUUUAGACUUUUAUUUUAUUUUUAUUUUAUUUAGAAGAAGUCGUGCAGGAUUCCAGUCUCUAGUUUUUUUGUGUGUGACUGGAGCUGCAUUUGGAUUCCACCACUUGUUGACAGCGCUGUGAUCGGAUUAUGGAUAUGAUGGCAAACGGUUCGCUUGGUUUUCUGCUUCUUUAUUUUGGAGGGAGGGGAGGUUGUUCUGUUGGCGCAGAUGGCGGCACAUGAGUCGCCUGUCACUCCGCGCAACAUUUACAGACAAGGAGGAGGACAGACUGGUUGCGAAGCUUGCGGCUGCAGACAGACAGACAGAGAGACAGUGUCCCGCCCGGAGCUGUCAAACACUGCGCACGUACCGCGCACAGUCUUCAGUCAGUGGAGUAAACCAGACUAAUCCAUCAACUCACAAGAUUAACCUUUUUUAUUAUUAUUCCAGACGCGCGAAAUUACUUGCUGUCUUUUUUUGUUAAAAGAAAAAGAAAAAAAAUCAUCCUCUUUUUUCCUUUCUCUUGUCACAUGGCUUUGGAGAAUUCAAUAACAAAAAAUGGCGACAAUCACGUUGCUCCGUGUGCUCUUGCUGCGUCAUUAAAAAUAUUCAUGUAAACACGCAGGAUUAAGCGGCGGAUUGGCAGCUAAAUGAGUGGAACAAGUGCCCCGCACUCCACGCAAACUGCACGUGAGUGACAAUGAUCGAUUAAGUGCGUGUUAUUCGAGUUUCCGAUCAGCAUGCUGUUUGUUUUUGCCCAGAAAAAGGGGUGUGCGUGCAAUGCUGGGCGUUAACGAUUGGCUGCACAGUGCUCUUCGCGGACUAUGCACUUGUAUUUGUGCUGCUGGUUUUCAAAUGCGCUGAGCAGCGGAGCUAAUGGAGUUGUUUACAAAGAAGUGCGGAGGACGAGGAGGAGGCGCAGGAGGAGGAGGAGCCGCGACGCCGACCAGCGACGCGACCUGACUGCUCGAGAGGCUUCUCGCGCUGAAGGGGGCGGAGCGUGCCAGGAUCAUAACAAGUCUGACGUCACUGUGGUUUGUAUGAAUAAUAGACAGGUUUGUAUGAAUAAUACACAGUAGUUUACUUAUACAACAAUUUUUAGCUUGAUGUUCAACAAAUAAAUGAAAACAGCAGGAAGAAUCAUCGGUUUACAGCAAACAAGAUAUUUCAAAUUUACUCAGUCAGUAAGUUAAAUAUAAAUAUAAUGUAUAGACAUCAUUCAAUUUUUAUUUUAACUCAGGUAGAAUGUACAGUGGUUAACACAUUUAUUUAGACCACCUGUCAUAGGAAACAAAUAUAUUGUAGUCUUUCAAAAACUUGUUUAAAACUAAAAAAAAUGUAUUUGACAAAUAACAAACGGAAUUCAACUUUUUAUGUCUGAAUUUGAGCUUCUUCUCUGAGAAGUUAAUCAAACAUAACAUUCAACCACACAGGAAUGCAAGUAAAUAGAAAUAAUAAUGUGCUUUACUAUUUUUCCUGUGUUUUCUUUUGUAAAACAGUAAUUUUGUAAAGUCAUAGACAACAAUAAUAAUUAGAUUUUAGCAUUAAAAAUAUAAUUUUGGGUUAAGGAGCUUCUACAUACUGGUGUAUGAACCACGACAGAAACAUAAGAAAUUAUUUUGAUAAUUACCAAAUGUUGUUAAUUUAGGGCAGCUGUGGCAUAAACCUUACAUGGGGUGUACUAUUUAUUCUCUAUUUAUCCCCUGCAUUAAUGUUUUUUGAUUCUGUAAAUAUGUUUGCUUAAUUAAAAAAUAAUUAGAAAAUGCAUAUAUGCAGUAGUUAAAUAAUGAAAUGCACAUUAUUUACUCUCUACCAUUUAGACACAGGAAUUAAUAACUUCACUAUUUGAAUAGUCAGUCAAACAACCAAUUAUUUUAUAAUUUUAGACAUUUUACAAGCUAUAUUUACUGAUAUCUGCUUUGCAUUGUAUUAUAAGAACAUUGUCCUAAUUGUUUUUUUGUUUUUUUUUACAGCACUGGAGUUUGUCAAACCUCGUCAAAUUGAUUUUCAUUUGUGUUUUUUUAAACGUAAGACAAGCAGUUACUGUUUUUUACAACGUUCAUGUGACUGGGUGAAUAGAAAGUCUGUGCAACAUCCGAAAAUACCCUUAUAUACACAAGCACAACUGAGCUUUUAUUUUGCAUGAUGGAUCAAUAAAUGGAAGAUACAUUAACUGCUAAAAUCACUUGUAGGACUGUUAUUCCGGACUGCUGAUCCACUUUCAAUAAAUUUUAAUUUGUUAUUUUUCUGGACACAAGCAGUAGAAUACGAUAUAAAGGAAACCAAGGACAAGUGGGAUUCCUUGAGUCCUACACAGCUUUGUUUUCUUUGACCCAUAUGUCUAUAGAUCAUGGAUAUUACUGGUUGAUGAUGAGUGGACUGAAGGUACGCACUGCUAGAUUUGACAGGCUGCCCUGGUUCAGUUAUCACAGUGCUGAUGCUGUCCCCAUCGAAGGUACAGUACUGUGAUAACUGAAGGAUGGCUGCCAACUUGACACCAGACCGGAUCAAGGCACCAAACAACAGAUGAGAUGCUCCACAAAGUGUAUGUGUUUAAGUGAGUAAAACAUUCAACUCUUAAUUUGUAUUUUAAUGUUGACGAUGUAAUCUUUAAAUAACAAAGGAAAUAAAAUUAUUUCUGUUAAAUUUG